AUUUCAUGAAAAGUAAUAGAUAAUUAAAUAAUCCGUGAUCCUAGGUAUCCUAAUCAUCCAUCUAACAUUUAUUUACGUUUCACCAAGAUUAUAGAGGAGAUUAGAACGAGCCACUCUUUGCCAUCACGCACCUAUAAAUAGCCCCACAAAUUCAAGCCAUACCACAACACACCAUACAUUAAAAACCUUCCCAACACGCUCUUGCCUCAUUCUUGUUCUAAUACCUUCUGUGAGCAUGGCCGAAGAGAAGCAGCACCAAGGCGUCUUCCACCACCACAAGAGCGAGGAGAAACCAGAGACUGCCACAGGUUAUGAUGCUCCACCUCCUCCUGUUUCAGAUGUUGAUUACAGAAAAGAAAAGAAGCAUCACAAGAAUCUUGAGCACGUUGCUGAGCUUGGAACUGCUGGCGCUGGUGCUUUUGCCAUGGUACAAUGUUUUGUCAGUUGUCACUCGCUAAUUUAAAUUCUGUGUGUUACUAUAUAUAUUCUGGUUAAUAUUUUUUUUAAGGUAUUCUUUUAUUUCAUGUAAUAAUCAAUCUUUUUAAAAAACACCUGUUUUCAAUCAUUGUUUUUUUUUAGAAUGGUUAUUGUUAUAUGUUUUUAUUUUUAUAUAUUUUACAAAAAAGGGUAAGUUGGUGGAUAUUUGCGUAUAGAAGUGUGUGUGUGUAUAAUUGAUGUGGGAUUCUCUCAUGUUAAAUAUUUCAAUGCAAGAGCUACAAACAAAUUCACGAUCUUUAAUCAAUUAUUUUUUAUAACCAGAGACAAAUUAUUUUCCAUAAAACAAUUAUUUUUUCUCUCUGUUUUUUUUUUCUUUAAUGAAAGUUCAAGAAAUCAGCAAGCCAGCAAGGAAUAGUUUUUUUUUUAUUCCAUAUUUAUUUGUUGCUUUAAUAAUUUAGAAUGAGAAGCACAAGACAAAGAAAGACCCAGAGCAUCCACACAGGCACAAGAUAAAGGAGGAGAUUGCCGCGGCAGCUGCAGUUGGAACCUGUGGACUUGUAUUCCAUGAGCAUCAUGAGAAGAAAGCAACCAAGAAAGAGGAAGAAGAGGCUAAUGGAAAGAAGCACCACCACUUCUAAUUGUUUUAAAUAAUUAAUUAAUCUUGUGUGUUACAGGCCUUAAUCUUGGUUACGUCACUAAUCACUAUAGUUAUAAAUCACCCCUCCUAAAUAAUACCUGUAUGCACGAGAUUUUUGUAUCCCUGCCGAACCGGUGCUAUCUGGCUCUUUCGCUUUUGUACGCAAUAUUAAUUCUUGUUUAUAAAAAUAUCUGAGAUGGUUAGGUGAUAUUAGUAUUUUGUCAUUUUUAAUUUUUAAUCUUUUCUUAUGAAGUAAUCAUUUUAUUUCUGUCCUGGUGUCUUUAGAUUUUCCCGAAGACAGGACUGGGAGGUUUUCGGCCGUGCCAUGUGAUUACUCGCCAAUAUGUUCGAGCAUAAUAAGUCAUUCAAUUAUUCUAAUUGGAGGAUUGUGUUUAAUUAUUAUUUUAAAAUUAAAGAGACAAAUAUAAAACGGAAAUAAAAAUGUUUUGCAAACAAAGAUAAAAAUAUAAAAUAAAUACAUUAAAGGAAUAAUUUUGGAAUAAAAUCUAGAUUUUUUUUAAAAUAAAAAAAGAGGUACAUAAAAAUAUGUUAUUCUUAUCAAUAACUAUCUCUGUUUUUUUAUUACAAAAUAGUAAUCAAAUAUUAUUUAAAAGCACAAAUACUAGAUUGUCACCUCAUCCAAUUAAGGUUUAAAUGCUUAUAUUAUAUUGCUUAUCUUAUCUAUGUUUUCUUCCUUAGUAGUACUUCCAAGUUUAAAUGUUGGAAUUUGUUUUAUAAAUCAUGGGUUAAUUGGCACAUUUGAUCCUAAACUUAAAGUGCGGUAUACUCACUUUCAUGGUUAAAUCUUUAUUAGAAAUUAUUCUCCAACAAAAAUUCUUUAACACGAAACAUUAACUUGAUUAAAAUAAAUUGAGUAAUUAAAAAAUUAAUCUAAAAUAACUCUAGAUUGACAUAUUUUGUGAAACUCAAAACUCUUUCUUCCACAUAGAAAAGAAAUAAGAUUUUUCUAUAACUUAUAUAGUUGGAAGUUGAAGGGUUAUAAAUGAAUCUUAAAGCAAAGUAGUAUUGGUUUAACCCACUCAUGCACACUUGGCUCUGGCUCGGAGUCUCAAGGCUCGAGUCCUGGGUCCUGGGCUUUGGUUUGAGUUUGUUUUUUUUAACCUAUUAUGGACUUCGAUUUCAGUUUAUUAUAAAAUAAUUCUUUGGCCUAUAAAAAAAAUAUUUUUUACUGGUCCAUUUAUGAAUAUUCAACCAAUAAAUAAAAAUUCUGAACAUAUUUUAAUUUUCCUCCCUUAUGUUUUACCUUUUUUUUUUUUCUAGUGUUUUUGUUCUUGUCAUUGUAAAGAGAUUUUAAGUAUAGAUUCCCUUGGUUCGUUAACUUUUAAAAUAAGUAUAUACUUUAAACGUAUACUUGUUGCAAUCAUAAAGGCUUGUUAAUAUCAUUCCUUUGUACAAAGAAAGGAUUUAUAAUUGACAAAAACUUCUUGUUACCUUUUGUUCUUUUGAGUUUCAUCAACAAGUAAGUACUAUAAUUUUUCUGGUUUUAGUUUCUCUAGUUUUAGUGUAUAUGUAUAUGAUAGUAUCAUGCUAGGUUUUUAAUUUACACAUAAUAUUUGUUUAUAUGGCUAGAAUACAUGCUAAAUUUUUAUAUAUAAGUUUGCAAGAUUUUAGUUUAUUAAUUUGAUGAACAUUUAAGUAUAUCCACACCUUUCUACAUUAUUCACAAUAAUCAUUCUCAUCUAAUACAUCUUAGAGCUUUAUUAAACACAUAAUUUUACUGAAAUCAAUUAAUUAAACUCAUUCUUUAUUUAAAUAAUUACAUCCCUCUUUCCUUGAGAAUAUAUUUGCUUAAUUAAAUCCCAACAAGUUCACACAUGCUAUAUGCAUUACACUUCUUUCACACAUCAUUAGUAAUAGAUUUCCACACAAACAAAAUUCAAAGUUCAAUUCCCUAUUUCUUCAUGUUAUGGCCGAAUGAACCACUAUUAGAAAGCUAAGUGAUUCUUUCCAAUUUCCUUCCAAAAUCAAGUAUUACCCAAAACUAAUCAUCCUAACUUCACAUUUUUAUCCCUAAUCUAGUUGUGACUUAAAAAAAUAAUAUAUCCCCCUAUUUCCCUACCUUGGUUGAACCACUCAUGUAUGGUGAGAGGCAAAUCUCUAUCUUAGUUCUUAUCACAAAUCCAUUACCUGUCCUUUUUCCUAUAUCUAGAAACAUGUUUUUCAACAUAACAUUCCUAACUGAACACACCUUCAUCAAAUCCUCUUCAUCUAGGGUUCCACAUACACUCAGUGUUAUCAAUUCAUGUAAAAUAGGUUCAAACAUGUAAAACCCCGUAAAACAAAAGUUCAACCGGUAAAUACCUGGGAGAAAACAUGAGGGAACCGGUCAAUGAACAACUUAAAAGACACUAGGAUAAGAAAAUACAACAUUCAAACAUGACCUAUCAUCAUUUAUGAGGAAGUAUAAAUACAUUGAGAGAAUAAAAAGGUGACUUUUUCUCUCCCUAUAAUCUGGCUAGAACAGCCUUAGCAGCCCCUUCUCUUUCUAAAUUUCCACCAAAACACUCCUUGCAUGUUACCUUUCUUGAAUGCUUGAGUGAGAGAAGAGUAAAUGUGAGGUGGGAGACUAAAAAAUUAAAGUGUUGGAAGAGGUAUAGGGCUGGCCGGAACACCAUAUAUAAAAGAAAGGGAAAAAAAGUGAUAAGUGCAAAAUAUACAUAUUUUUUUUCCUUUUACACUAUGCUUUUUAAUGUAUUUUGAACUUAUUUGAGUUGAUUGGAAGUUAUUUUUAUGAGUUUGGCAUGCAGAAGAGACUUCGUGAAUUAAUCGUUAAAAGAUAAGAAAUGCUGCAUUUUAUAUUUUGUACCUAGCUUCUUGUGACAGAUUGUUUGCCAAGUUAGAGUUCUAAAAUGAGAAGGUGAGCUUAAUCUAAGUUGAAGUACACAUGUCAAGGUUUCCAAGAAGGUAUUUUAGGCAAAAAACUGAUCUUAUUCGGACCUCGAAUCAGAACCGCAAACUCGGGUCAGAAUCUUUCUCGCAGCAGGAUUAUUUGCUUUCAUACUAGAUAUUCAAACAGGAAUAUCUUAAGCUUAUGAUAUCAAAAUCAGGCAAUUCAAAAACCCAAAUUCAUGCACACACACAUGACUACAACUUUCAUGGAGGACUCAAAGUCAAAUAAAAUUAUUUUGAAGGACAAAAUCCAGACGCAAUCUGGUUGGUCAAAAUGGAUCUCCUGAUCUGAUUCGGAAACUAACAAUGUUGAGCAUCCCAAUAUGACUGAGAGUCUGACAUAAAAACAGUGGGCCUUACAACCCAAUAAAGGUUCAAAUCAAUCCUUUAGCAUGUCACGAAUGAAAGAAUAUAGCUGAGAUGGUCGGAUAUUGCAAGAAACCAAGUCAGAAUCAAAGUCUAAAUUGCAACAGAGGUGGUAUUGCUACAGAAUUGUGACAGCAACAGAAUCCGUUUUCAACACAAAUUCUGAGAAAUUUAUCCAAUCUUAAGGACUAGAUAAAGAAGGAAAGAAUUUAGCAUCGUGAAGACUCCUAAUUAGCCUAAGAAUCCUGAAGAUUUCGGAAGCAAAAGGGGAGGAUAAAGAGAGAGCAAAACACAGCUGAAACAGGGUUCGAAAAACAUUCAUUUCUUCUCUGCUUUUGACAAUAUUUCAGCAACCGUGAACUAAACUCCUGAAUUCGGUUCAAAAAGAAUACACACCAUCUCCAUUAGCACGUUGUGAGAAGUAACGUUAUUAGUGUAAUUCUUUCAUAUUCAAGUAUUUAUUUUUUCUUGUUCAGAAUUAUGCUAUUGAUUGUUAUUCAAGCUUAUUGAAUUGUUUUGAGAUAGCAUGUAUGCUUUCUAGCUUAAAGAUUAAUUUGAUUGCUGAAACUAUCAUAUUGAUUUAUUAGGGAAAAAUAAACUAAAAUUGUCAAGCUUUUGAACGUUUGUUUAGAAUAAAUGCAUAGAUUUUAUUCCUAAGACUACUGCCGAGUGAAUGAAAAUUGCUUUCAAUAUUACAUUCGUUUGAUGGCAAGAAAUUGAUUACAGAGCUUUUCCUAAUUAAUGUACUCGUAAUCUCAUCGAUUUCCCUCAGCUUUAAGGGAUAUCGAAUUUAUUUGCUUGACGUGAAAGAAUAUUUAUUUUACUUCGAUGAUCAACAAAUUUCUAGGAAUGAAUGUUUGGACUCUUAAACUAAUUUAACGACAUAUCAAUUUAUUAUUUUCAGAAUUAUUAUUUCUUGAAUUUUUCAUUCAAAUCCCCCGUUCUUUCUCAUUUUGGUAUACUGUAAGAAGAUUAAAUGAAAUUUCUCUUGGGUUCGACCUGGUUUUCACGAUCAUACUAUAAAUUUAUUUUGUUUGUGAUAGUUAAGUCAGAAAUAUAUUUUGGUGGUUCCGAAUAUUGGAAUUGAUGUUAAUAUAAAAAUAUUUAAUUAAACAACUGUAAAUAAUCCCAACAUUCCUCUCAUGUGAAAAUGCAAAUAGCAAUUGAUAGUCUAAUAUCUUUGUUGGGAGUCAUGAUUUUUGUAACCCUCUCAUGGCUUGGUCUUACAUUAUCGAACAACAGAAAUGUAGCUGGCGAAUUUUAAUAACCAAGACAUAACUCAUUGGAGCCAAAACAUGAGAACACUCUCUGUUUGUUAACAUUAUUCAAUGGCCACCGCCAAAUUCGAACUAGACUUUCUUUACAAUAAUCUUGUUAUGCUUCAAGGGUGGUGGUGAAGGAGGAGAAUCCUCGGAUUUAACACAAGAACCUUCAAGAAUGUCGCCUUCCUCCGCGGUCCUAGCGUGACAAUCAUGGCAGGCCAGCAUUGUCGAUUGAUGGUGCGAAUUGCUCGACAACAUCCACGACCUAGGUUAGUCUCUCCAUUAAAGAGGAAGAGGAUAAUUUUCCCGGUGCUGGGUCAAAGAACCCCAACAAGUGUAAUGCGAUUUCCGAGACACUAUAAGGAUCUUCUCAGGUGAACUUCAUGAAACAGCCGAGCAUAAUUAAGUAAUUUUCAACUUUUGAAUACAAAUAUGAAAUAGUAUGAUGUUUGUGACAAAUUGGAAGGGAAUCGUCAUCAAGAGUUCUAUAGCAGUUUGAUCAGCUUCAGGGUUAUUGCGGAUACAAUAUUGCUGAAUCUCAAUCAAUAUUAACAUUGAAAAGCCCAAUUACUAGAGGAAAGCUGCAACUCCCUUUUGCUUUUAGCUGUCGUUGGCAUCGCUGGCUUCUUAUUGGUUGCAAUCCGAAAUAGUUAGUUUUUUUAAAAAAAGUGUUAUUUUUAAUAUUAAUAUGUUCAAAUAAUUUUAAAAUAUAUAAAAAAAAUUAUAAUUUAAAACACAAUUCCAAACAACUCAAAAUCACAACAAAAUGAGUUCGAAAAAGUUAGCCGUAAUAUAUAUCCAUGAAUGAAUAUCACUUAAAACUGUAAUUUUCUCAAGACAAAUUAAAUUGGAUCCACCCACCAACAAUUCUAUAAAAUAUCAAAAUUUUGUCUUAUAAAAGAAGAGCAAUGUUUCGAGCAAUAUCCAAGAAUUUGCACAAUAAAUCAAAAGAAUUAUUUAAAUAUAGAAUUUCUUAUUUACGGUUGGUUCGAAGGAGAUGACACAGUGUAUUCUAGGGUUUAAUUAAUGUUAAAAGCAACCAUAUCUAAUUUCCUCCAUGAUGAUACGUGCAAAGAACUUCAUUAUAAAAGUAAUAUAUAGUUAAUUAAAUAAUCCGUGAUCCCAGAUAUCCUAAUCAUCCAUCUAGCAUUUAUUUACUUGUAACCAAGAUAUAAUUUAUAGAGGAGAUUAGAACGAGUCACUGUUUGCCAUCAUGCACCUAUAAAUAGCCCCACAAAUUCAAGCUAUACCACAACACACCAUACAUUAAAAACCUUCCCAACACGCUCUUGCCUCAUUCUUGUUCUAAUACCUUCUGUGAGCAUGACUGAAGAGAAGCAGCACCAAGGCGUCUUCCACCACCACAAGAGCGAGGAGAAACCAGUUGAUUACAGAAAAGAAAAGAAGCAUC
RNAcentral lists this long non-coding RNA (7024 nucleotides) under Populus trichocarpa (black cottonwood). RNAcentral describes it as "long non-coding RNA (PTRI_LNC001578)". Lineage: Eukaryota; Viridiplantae; Streptophyta; Magnoliopsida; Malpighiales; Salicaceae. The record is from RNAcentral.